This 253-nucleotide ribosomal RNA is filed under the name uncultured bacterium. RNAcentral's name for it is "partial 16S ribosomal RNA". It matches the Rfam family "Bacterial small subunit ribosomal RNA", at positions 524 to 776 of the family's 1533-position model. The record is from RNAcentral.
UACGUAGGGUGCGAGCGUUAAUCGGAAUUACUGGGCGUAAAGCGUGCGCAGGCGGUUUUGUAAGCCAGAUGUGAAAUCCCCGGGCUCAACCCGGGAACUGCGUCCGAGACUGAAAGGCUUGAAUCCGGGAGAGGGAUGUGGAAUUCCAGGUGUAGCGGUGAAAUGCGUAGAUAUCUGGAGGAACAUCGGUGGCGAAGGCGGCAUCCUGGACCGGUAUUGACGCUGAGGCGCGAAAGCCAGGGGAGCAAACGGG